Anas platyrhynchos (mallard) is the source of this 976-nucleotide long non-coding RNA. RefSeq lists it as uncharacterized. NCBI's taxonomy places the organism in Eukaryota, Metazoa, Chordata, Aves, Anseriformes, Anatidae. The record is from RefSeq and is a predicted model, not a curated record.
AAGGCUGGAGCCAAGGAACAAUAAAGGCAAUGUAACUUACUUCAGAGCCAGCUUUCUACUGGAAAGAAGCAGCUCCUGCUGUGUCCCCAUGCUCCUGUGGCUUGGAGCUGGGGGUGCACCCCAGGGAAGAUGCCCAGAACCCUGUGGCUGUGACUGCACACUGUGUCCCCUGCCUGGAGGCAGCCUGGAGGCAAUGCAUGCUCUCAGGCUGUUACUGUGGCAUGAAUAUGCAGAUCUACUGGAACAGAAUAUUUUCACUGCAGAGAAGGCAUGAUGAACGUGAUCCUAAAAGUAACCAUUUUCCAAACUGCAGCACACAAAAAUGCCAAGAGGGGAAUGGGAAGCAAAAGCAGGGCUCAUGGACCACAUGAGCUCACUUCAAGACCUAGUGGCAGAGAGAUGCCCCUCUGUCUAAAGCAUUGCCCUUGGACCACUUGUAGAAGGGGGCCUGGAUUGUACAGUUCUCUUUGGCAGUCAAAGCAAGUCAGAACAGCUGGGGAAGGGCUGCUGUAAGUACGUGUCUGUGGGUACUUACACUGGAACUACUUACAUGCUCAAGCUAAGUUCACCUGCAAAUAUCUGCAGAACUGUGAAUAAUGAAUAUACCUUGUCACAAGCAAUUGAAGCUUAAUAGAGCUUAGUUCCUCUUCCACCCAAGUUCUGCAUUCAGCUUUAUAAUAGACUUUGUUAUACUUUAUGGCAUAUGUUCAGAAUGAGAUGCUUAUAGCUCAGGCGCUGGGUAUGAAUUAUUUUUUCUUUUUAGAUAAAUCAAGUAAAAUUUUGGAAGGAGAAAUACUCUUGCUUAAUGGGUAUUGUUCUCUUUGUCUAAUUUGUAAUAUUAAUGCAAAAUGGCUGUAAAGUGAGUAUAAAUGCGGUUGUCUGAACUGGUAGUUUUGUUCAUUCCUUGUACUGCUGUUAGAUGUUGAAAAUACAUAGUGUGAUAAUAAAUUGUGCUCAAUGCAGUUAUCAAAUGUCA